RNAcentral lists this ribosomal RNA (480 nucleotides) under uncultured bacterium. RNAcentral's name for it is "partial 16S ribosomal RNA". It matches the Rfam family "Bacterial small subunit ribosomal RNA", at positions 28 to 523 of the family's 1533-position model. The record is from RNAcentral.
GACGAACGCUGGCGGCGUGCCUAACACAUGCAAGUCGAGCGAGUGAAUCUCCUUCGGGAGUGAAGCUAGCGGCGGACGGGUGAGUAACACGUGGGCAACCUGCCUCAUAGAGGGGAAUAGCCUUUCGAAAGGAAGAUUAAUACCGCAUAAGAUUGUAGCUUCGCAUGAAGUAGCAAUUAAAGGAGCAAUCCGCUAUGAGAUGGGCCCGCGGCGCAUUAGCUAGUUGGUGAGGUAACGGCUCACCGAGGCGACGAUGCGUAGCCGACCUGAGAGGGGGAUCGGCCACAUUGGGACUGAGACACGGCCCAGACUCCUACGGGAGGCAGCAGUGGGGAAUAUUGCACAAUGGGGGAAACCUUGAUGCAGCAACGCCGCGUGAGUGAUGACGGCCUUCGGGUUGUAAAGCUCUGUCUUCAGGGACGAUAAUGACGGUACCUGAGGAGGAAGCCACGGCUAACUACGUGCCAGCCGCCGCAGUAA